RNAcentral lists this ribosomal RNA (634 nucleotides) under Flavobacterium sp. Se3Ps_2779. Its description in RNAcentral is "bacterial SSU rRNA". It matches the Rfam family "Bacterial small subunit ribosomal RNA", at positions 381 to 1016 of the family's 1533-position model. The record is from RNAcentral. Lineage: Bacteria; Pseudomonadati; Bacteroidota; Flavobacteriia; Flavobacteriales; Flavobacteriaceae.
GCCUGAUCCAGCCAUGCCGCGUGCAGGAUGACGGUCCUAUGGAUUGUAAACUGCUUUUGUACAGGAAGAAACACUACUUCGUGAAGUAGCUUGACGGUACUGUAAGAAUAAGGAUCGGCUAACUCCGUGCCAGCAGCCGCGGUAAUACGGAGGAUCCAAGCGUUAUCCGGAAUCAUUGGGUUUAAAGGGUCCGUAGGCGGUUUAGUAAGUCAGUGGUGAAAGCCCAUCGCUCAACGGUGGAACGGCCAUUGAUACUGCUAAACUUGAAUUAUUAGGAAGUAACUAGAAUAUGUAGUGUAGCGGUGAAAUGCUUAGAGAUUACAUGGAAUACCAAUUGCGAAGGCAGGUUACUACUAAUAUAUUGACGCUGAUGGACGAAAGCGUGGGUAGCGAACAGGAUUAGAUACCCUGGUAGUCCACGCCGUAAACGAUGGAUACUAGCUGUUGGGCGCAAGUUCAGUGGCUAAGCGAAAGUGAUAAGUAUCCCACCUGGGGAGUACGUUCGCAAGAAUGAAACUCAAAGGAAUUGACGGGGGCCCGCACAAGCGGUGGAGCAUGUGGUUUAAUUCGAUGAUACGCGAGGAACCUUACCAAGGCUUAAAUGUAGAUUGACCGGUUUGGAAACAGACUUUUC